UACGGAGGGCGCAAGCGUUGUUCGGAAUCAUUGGGCGUAAAGCGCGUGUAGGCGGCCUGGCAAGUCGGGUGUGAAAGCCCGGGGCUCAACCCCGGAACUGCAUUCGAUACUGCCUCGCUAGAGUCCCGGAGAGGAAGGCGGAAUUCCCGGUGUAGAGGUGAAAUUCGUAGAUAUCGGGAGGAACACCAGCGGCGAAGGCGGCCUUCUGGACGGUGACUGACGCUGAGACGCGAAAGCGUGGGGAGCAAACAGG
This 253-nucleotide ribosomal RNA is filed under the name uncultured bacterium. RNAcentral's name for it is "partial 16S ribosomal RNA". It matches the Rfam family "Bacterial small subunit ribosomal RNA", at positions 524 to 776 of the family's 1533-position model. The record is from RNAcentral.